UACAGAGACUCCAAGCGUUAUUCGGAUUCACUGGGCGUAAAGGGUGCGCAGGCGGUCAAUUGUGUCGGAGGUGAAAUCCUGCAGCUUAACUGUAGAUGUGCCUUCGAAACUAGUUGACUAGAGUAUCGGAGAGGCAAGCGGAAUUCCAGGUGUAGCAGUGAAAUGCGUAGAUAUCUGGAGGAACACCGAAGGCGAAGGCAGCUUGCUGGACGAUUACUGACGCUCAGGCACGAAAGCAUGGGGAGCGAAAGGG
Molecule: unclassified non-coding RNA, 253 nt
Filed under: uncultured Verrucomicrobiota bacterium
Lineage: Bacteria; Pseudomonadati; Verrucomicrobiota
Description: uncultured Verrucomicrobia bacterium contains 16S-23S intergenic spacer region
Rfam family: Bacterial small subunit ribosomal RNA
Source: RNAcentral